GAUCCAGUAGGGGUUCUGAGAGGAAGGUCCCCCACAUUGGAACUGAGACACGGUCCAAACUCCUACGGGAGGCAGCAGUGAGGAAUAUUGGUCAAUGGGCGAGAGCCUGAACCAGCCAAGUAGCGUGCAGGAUGUACGGCCCUAUGGGUUGUAAACUGCUUUUAUAUGGGAAUAAAGUGAGGGGACGUGUCCCUUUAUUGCAUGUACCAUACGAAUAAGGACCGGCUAAUUCCGUGCCAGCAGCCGCGGUAAU
This 253-nucleotide ribosomal RNA is filed under the name uncultured Prevotella sp. Its description in RNAcentral is "partial 16S ribosomal RNA". It matches the Rfam family "Bacterial small subunit ribosomal RNA", at positions 278 to 524 of the family's 1533-position model. The record is from RNAcentral. Lineage: Bacteria; Pseudomonadati; Bacteroidota; Bacteroidia; Bacteroidales; Prevotellaceae.